CUCACCCGUGUGAUUAUAUACCACAAAAAUACAAAAAUAACAAACCCCUAACAACCCCUCCAAUAAGAUGAAGCCACCUCACAUUAUUCUAAUCCUAUCUUAACAACCUACCCCUACCCCACCCCCACCUCACGUGACCUCCCUUUACCUAGCUUUCUUUAUACAUUUUACCAAUUGGAGAUAGAAAAGGGGGGUGGAUUGAUUUUUCAAGAAGGGACUAGUACACUCAUCCUAACAAAAAUUACACUCAGCAAAAAACAAAAAAAUACGCACAUCAGACCUCCAUUUAUCCCAUAUACACAUGCACACUAUAAUACUCCUAAAAAUUGGAUCACCCCUCAUCUCACCGAAAAACCCACGACUCAUCGGAAACCAUGAAACACACUUAGAUCGAGAGGGGUGGAGGAGAAAGCAGAGAGAGAGAACUCAGGCGAGACACGCUUGAAACCAGCCGAUUCAUCCACCUCCGGAGCAACAACAACCCAACAACAACCAAAAAACUACCCAACAACCAAACCCCACUGAAUCAUCACCGAAAAAUAAAUCAUCUUAUCAGCCAAUAAAGAGGAAUCGAGAGCUUCGAGUUGGUCAAUUGGGUGUUCGUGUUCGGGAUGGUAUUCAAGGUUUGAUGGGGAUAUUGGGUUAAAGCAUAUAGAGAGACUAAAAUUGAGAGAGAUAUUGGGUUGAAGAAUAUCGAGAGAGUGAAAUUGAGAGAGUAAGUAACAGAAAUGGAGAGAAAAAUUUAAAAAAAAAGGUGAGCAAAGGUCUAGCUGGUGUCGAGUUUUUCCGGUGACUAUUUCGCCAAAAUCCAUACUACACAUUGGAUUAAGCACUGUCGACUCAUGAUUCGCCUCUCUCAUCGCCAAAGACCAGAACCAGCAACUAAAACUAGCCAAGAUCGGUCCUUUUGGGUAGACUCGGGCGAUGUUUAAUUUGGCUCAGGCGAGAUGUCGCAAUUUUGAAUGCGAAUUUCUUGGUUUUCGUAAACCUAGUCACGGUUGACUAGAAAUUUCUUCUCUUGAAUCUGUUUAGAUCGCGAUUAUUGGCUACCGAAUUAGACGGGUUCAUCGUUGAGGCUCGAGUUGAAGUUAUCGGAAGCGGGUUUUCUUUAUUUUAUUGAGUAAUCAUCUUCAAAGGCCCCCCAAAUUAAGGAGCUCGCCUGAAGAACGGGGCGAAUAAAAUGAAAGCCAAGAAACAAAGUGAAGAAAUUGAAAGACAACAUAUGGAAAUAGCAAGUUAGGAGCCCGCCUGAAGAACAGGGUGAUGAAACUGCAAGUCAGGAGCCUGCCUGAAAAAUAGGGUGAUGAAAUGGCAAGUCAGGAGACCGCCUGAAGAACAGGGUAAAUAAAUGAAAAGUCAAGCAACAUGGGGAAGAAAUUGAAAACCAAGCAACAAGUUGGGGAAGUAGAGAGUCAAGAGUCAAGAAAAGCUGCAUAGAUAGAGUUUUUGUAAUUUCAUUUAUGUUUUUAACUUGUAACUUUCAUUUUUGAUGUAAUAACAGAGCCGCGGACCGAAACCUCAACGCAACCUCACUCGACUCUCCAACUCAGUUGUCCUUUUUUCUUUUGUUUCUUUCGUUGAAUAAUGGUCGGGUCAAAAUUCUAUAUCGUUGUCUACUUCUUUGUAUGAAAACACUUUGUGUUUACAUACAAAGAGGGGCAUGAUGUAGACACGUAAUUUUGUCCCUCCCCGAAAGCAUUCUCACUAUUUUACCCUCUUCUUAGUGCGUGCCCUCACACAUGUGAUUAUAUCCCACAAAAAUACAAAAAUAACAAACCCCUAACAACCCCUCUAAUAAGAUGAAGCCACCUCACAUUAUUCUAAUCCUAUCUUGACAACCUACCCCUACCCCACCCCGCCUCACAUGACCUCCCUUUACCUAGCUUUCUUUAUACAUUUUGCCAAUUGGAGAUAGAAAAGGGGGGUGAAUUGAUUUUUCAAGAAGGGACUAGUACACUCAUCCUCACAAAAUAUACACUCAGGAAAAAAUAAAAAAAUAUGCACAUCAGACCUUCAUUUCUCCUAUAUACACACGCACACUGUGAUACUCCCAAAAAUUGGAUCACCCCUCAUCUCACCGAAAAACCCAUGACACACCAGAAACCAUGAAACACACUUAGAUCGAGAGGGGUGGAGGAGAAAGCAGAGGGAGCAAACUCAGGCGAGACACGCCUGAAACUAGCAGAUUCGUCCACCUCCGGAGCAACAACAACCCAACAACAACCAAAGAACUACCCAAUGACCAAAUACAACUGAAUCAUCACCGAAAAUAAAUCAUCUUAUCAGCCAAUAAAGGGGAAUCGAGAGCUUUGAGUUAGUCAUUUGGGUGUUCAUGUUUAGGAUGGUGUUCAAGGUUUGAUGGGGAUAUUGGGUUAAAGCAUAUAGAGAGAGUGAAAUCGAGAGAGUAAGUAAUAGAAACAGAGAGAAAAUUUGAAAAAAAAGAGGUAAGUGAAGGUCUAGCUGGUGUCGAGUUUUUCCAGCGACUAUUUCGCCGAAAUCCAUACUACACGUCGGAUUAAGCACUGUCGACUCAUGAUUCGCCUCUCUCGUUGCCAAAGACCAGAACCAGCAACUAAAACUAGCCGAGAUCAGUCCUUUUGGGUAGACUCGGGCGACGUUUAAGUUGGCUCAGGCGAGAUGUCGCGAUUUCGAAUGCGAAUUUCUUGGUUUUUGUAAACUUAGUCUCGGUUGACUAGAAGUUUCUUAUCUUGAAUCUAUUCAAAUCGCGAUUAUUGGCUAUUAAGUUGGACGGGUUCGUCGUUGAGGCUCGAGUUAAAGUUAUCGAAAGGGUGGUUUCUUUAUUUUAUUGAGUAAUCAUCUUCAAAGGCCCCCCAAAUUGAGGUCCAAUUUUAUCUCUCUCUUUAUAAUUUCAUGAUCUCUAAGUAAAUGACGGUGUGAAUUGUUGUUUGUGUUGAUUUGAUAGUUGGUUUUUGUGAUCAUGGAUUGCGUGAUGAAAUUAUGUCUUGUUUGAGAAUGGAAUUGGGGGAAUUGAUAAUCUAAUAAGUUGAAGGUUGUUAAUUUUGAUUC
Long non-coding RNA from Capsicum annuum, 3027 nucleotides. RefSeq lists it as uncharacterized. The transcript is spliced from 2 exons. The record is from RefSeq and is a predicted model, not a curated record. NCBI's taxonomy places the organism in Eukaryota, Viridiplantae, Streptophyta, Magnoliopsida, Solanales, Solanaceae.